Molecule: ribosomal RNA, 482 nt
Filed under: uncultured bacterium
Lineage: Bacteria
Description: bacterial SSU rRNA
Rfam family: Bacterial small subunit ribosomal RNA
Source: RNAcentral
AGUGAACGCUGGCGGCAGGCCUAAUACAUGCAAGUCGAACGGCAGCACAGCAGAGCUUGCUCUGUGGGUGGCGAGUGGCGGACGGGUGAGGAAUACAUGGGAAUCUGCCCAGUCGUGGGGGAUAACGUAUGGAAACGUACGCUAAUACCGCAUGCGCCCUAAGGGGGAAAGCCGGGGACCGCAAGGCCUGGCGCGAUUGGAUGAGCCCAUGUUCGAUUAGCUAGUUGGCGGGGUAAAGGCCCACCAAGGCGACGAUCGAUAGCUGGUCUGAGAGGAUGAUCAGCCACACUGGAACUGAGACACGGUCCAGACUCCUACGGGAGGCAGCAGUAGGGAAUAUUGGACAAUGGGGGCAACCCUGAUCCAGCCAUGCCGCGUGAGUGAAGAAGGCCCUCGGGUUGUAAAGCUCUUUUGUCCGGAAAGAAAGCAUCUGGUUAAUACCCGGGUGUUCUGACGGUACCGGAAGAAUAAGCACCGGCUAA